RNAcentral lists this ribosomal RNA (705 nucleotides) under Escherichia coli. Its description in RNAcentral is "partial 23S ribosomal RNA". It matches the Rfam family "Bacterial large subunit ribosomal RNA", at positions 2211 to 2910 of the family's 2925-position model. Lineage: Bacteria; Pseudomonadati; Pseudomonadota; Gammaproteobacteria; Enterobacterales; Enterobacteriaceae. The record is from RNAcentral.
UGUUUGAUGUUCUAACGUUGGCCCCUGAUCGGGGUUGCGGACAGUGUCUGGUGGGUAGUUUGACUGGGGCGGUCUCCUCCUAAAGAGUAACGGAGGAGCACGAAGGUUGGCUAAUCCUGGUCGGACAUCAGGAGGUUAGUGCAAUGGCAUAAGCCAGCUUGACUGCGAGCGUGACGGCGCGAGCAGGUGCGAAAGCAGGUCAUAGUGAUCCGGUGGUUCUGAAUGGAAGGGCCAUCGCUCAACGGAUAAAAGGUACUCCGGGGAUAACAGGCUGAUACCGCCCAAGAGUUCAUAUCGACGGCGGUGUUUGGCACCUCGAUGUCGGCUCAUCACAUCCUGGGGCUGAAGUAGGUCCCAAGGGUAUGGCUGUUCGCCAUUUAAAGUGGUACGCGAGCUGGGUUUAGAACGUCGUGAGACAGUUCGGUCCCUAUCUGCCGUGGGCGCUGGAGAACUGAGGGGGGCUGCUCCUAGUACGAGAGGACCGGAGUGGACGCAUCACUGGUGUUCGGGUUGUCAUGCCAAUGGCACUGCCCGGUAGCUAAAUGCGGAAGAGAUAAGUGCUGAAAGCAUCUAAGCACGAAACUUGCCCCGAGAUGAGUUCUCCCUGAGACUUUAAGUCUCCUGAAGGAACGUUGAAGACGACGACGUUGAUAGGCCGGGUGUGUAAGCGCAGCGAUGCGUUGAGCUAACCGGUACUAAUGAACC